CUAGUAUUUAUAUGGCAGGAUGAUGCCAGGCAACACAAGAUCUCCAAACUGUCUUAAAUUUCCUAUUUACAUUGUAUAGUGUACAUUUUUGACAAAUAGACAGGCACAAUUUAUUACAUUACCCAAGUGAUUCUUUUUCAGUCAGUUUAGAGAUAAGAGAGGGAUGCUAGUUGAGGUGUUUAUUUGCACAUUCGCAGCAUCAUUAGCUGAGCUGUGUAUUGAAGAGAAUGCUAGAAACCAUGUAUCAUAUCCACUCUGAAGUCGGAUACUAUUCAUUUUGAGAAGAGGCAAAGCGAUUUUAC
Molecule: small RNA, 302 nt
Filed under: Oryza sativa Japonica Group (Japanese rice)
Lineage: Eukaryota; Viridiplantae; Streptophyta; Magnoliopsida; Poales; Poaceae
Description: sRNA Os09g0557600
Source: RNAcentral